This is a long non-coding RNA of Saccostrea cuccullata (small rock oyster), 150 nucleotides long. RefSeq lists it as uncharacterized. The transcript has 3 exons. Lineage: Eukaryota; Metazoa; Mollusca; Bivalvia; Ostreida; Ostreidae. The record is from RefSeq and is a predicted model, not a curated record.
UACUCUGGUCUCUGUGGAACAGGAACAGCCAGACAGUAUGUUAACAUAACCUUAGGAAGUCCAGGGUUACAGCAGAGUGAAUCCAAUGCUUGUUCUACAGAGUUACCUGCUCUCUUUCCCGUACUUGGGUCAAUCCCAACACUAUUACUC